UGAGGAAUAUUGGGCAAUGCCCGCAAGGGUGACCCAGCAACGCCGCGUGGAGGAUGAAUGUCGUAAGAUUGUAAACUCCUGUUAGAGGGGAAGAAUAGUACCGGUUGGACCGGUAUAUGACUGUACCCUCAGAGAAAGCCCCGGCUAACUACGUGCCAGCAGCCGCGGUAAUACGUAGGGGGCAAGCGUUGUCCGGAUUUACUGGGUGUAAAGGGCGCGCAGGCGGGAUAAAAAGUCAGUGGUGAAAUCCUACAGCUUGACUGUAGAACUGCCUUUGAUACUUUUAUUCUUGAGUUCGGGAGAGAGAGACGGAAUUCCAGGUGUAGUGGUGAAAUACGUAGAUAUCUGGAAGAACACCAGUGGCGAAGGCGGUCUCUUGGUCCGACACUGACGCUGAGGCGCGAAAGCGUGGGGAGCAAACA
This 422-nucleotide ribosomal RNA is filed under the name uncultured bacterium. RNAcentral's name for it is "bacterial SSU rRNA". It matches the Rfam family "Bacterial small subunit ribosomal RNA", at positions 355 to 774 of the family's 1533-position model. The record is from RNAcentral.